GGCGCGGUGGCCGAGGAGUUAGGCAAUGGUCUGCAAAACCAUGUACACGGGUGCGAAUCCCGUCCGUGCCUCCA
This 74-nucleotide transfer RNA is filed under the name Candidatus Saccharimonadota bacterium. Its description in RNAcentral is "Candidatus Saccharibacteria bacterium tRNA-Cys". It matches the Rfam family "tRNA". From Rfam's summary of the family: Transfer RNA (tRNA) molecules are approximately 80 nucleotides in length. Their secondary structure includes four short double-helical elements and three loops (D, anti-codon, and T loops). Further hydrogen bonds mediate the characteristic L-shaped molecular structure. tRNAs have two regions of fundamental functional importance: the anti-codon, which is responsible for specific mRNA codon recognition, and the 3' end, to which the tRNAs corresponding amino acid is attached (by aminoacyl-tRNA synthetases). tRNAs cope with the degeneracy of the genetic code in two manners: having more than one tRNA (with a specific anti-codon) for a particular amino acid; and 'wobble' base-pairing, i.e. permitting non-standard base-pairing at the 3rd anti-codon position. The record is from RNAcentral. Lineage: Bacteria; Candidatus Saccharimonadota.